AGCCGGCAAAAUCCUAUCACCACCUCCUCGCAGUGCUGGCUGGAUACAACGAUUCGUUGGAACUAAUGGUGAAGG
Molecule: non-coding RNA, 75 nt
Organism: Lepisosteus oculatus (spotted gar)
Lineage: Eukaryota; Metazoa; Chordata; Actinopteri; Semionotiformes; Lepisosteidae
Rfam family: drz-agam-1 ribozyme
Source: Rfam